CCAAAAAGAGAGGGAGGCAUGGGCUUCCGAGAUCUUAGGUUGUUUAAUCAAGCUCUUUUGGCUAAGCAGGCGUGGAGGUUACUGGUGAGUCCAGAUUCAUUAUGUGCUAAGGUCUUGAGGGCCAAAUAUUAUCCUAAUGGUCAGAUCUUGGAUACUGCAUUCCCGCAAGCUACUUCUGUGAAUUGGCAAGACAUUAUGCAUGGA
This 204-nucleotide ribosomal RNA is filed under the name Triticum aestivum (bread wheat). RNAcentral's name for it is "partial small subunit ribosomal RNA". Lineage: Eukaryota; Viridiplantae; Streptophyta; Magnoliopsida; Poales; Poaceae. The record is from RNAcentral.